RNAcentral lists this ribosomal RNA (136 nucleotides) under uncultured bacterium. Its description in RNAcentral is "partial 16S ribosomal RNA". It matches the Rfam family "Bacterial small subunit ribosomal RNA", at positions 355 to 507 of the family's 1533-position model. The record is from RNAcentral.
CAAGGAAUUUUGCGCAAUGGGCGAAAGCCUGACGCAGCGACGCCGCGUGGGGGAUGACGGCCUUCGGGUUGUAAACCCCUUUUCUCGAGGAAGAAAUAUGACGGUACUCGAGGAAUAAGUCUUGGCUAACUACGUG